AAGUCGUAACAAGGUAACCGUAGGUGAACCUGCGGUUGGAUCAUUAGUGGUUUUUUGGCAGCGCUGUUGUAGUGUAUGGUGGUGGUGUUGGGUUUUGGUGUGUGUGUGUUGUGUGUUCUGCUGUGUCUGUUGUUGACUUGGUCUUGCCUUGGUCUUGGCCUUGGUCUUGGCACAGCAACGGACGACGGAUCACUCGGACCAGACCCAACAGACCUCGCCAGAUAGACGUCUUUGCUUGCUUUGAUGAAACCAAAUCAAAAACAACUUUUGACAACGGAUCUCUUGGCUCUC
Molecule: unclassified non-coding RNA, 291 nt
Filed under: fungal sp.
Lineage: Eukaryota; Fungi
Description: partial internal transcribed spacer region
Rfam family: Eukaryotic small subunit ribosomal RNA (bases 1-46)
Source: RNAcentral